RNAcentral lists this ribosomal RNA (311 nucleotides) under uncultured Pseudofulvimonas sp. RNAcentral describes it as "bacterial SSU rRNA". It matches the Rfam family "Bacterial small subunit ribosomal RNA", at positions 505 to 817 of the family's 1533-position model. Lineage: Bacteria; Pseudomonadati; Pseudomonadota; Gammaproteobacteria; Lysobacterales; Rhodanobacteraceae. The record is from RNAcentral.
GUGCCAGCAGCUGCGGUAAUACGAAGGGUGCAAGCGUUAAUCGGAAUUACUGGGCGUAAAGGGUGCGUAGGCGGCCUGUUAAGUCAGAUGUGAAAGCCCUGGGCUCAACCUGGGAACGGCAUUUGAUACUGGCGGGCUGGAGUGCGGUAGAGGGUGGUGGAAUUCCCGGUGUAGCGGUGAAAUGCGUAGAGAUCGGGAGGAACAUCUGUGGCGAAGGCGGCCACCUGGACCAGCACUGACGCUGAGGCACGAAAGCGUGGGAGCAACAGGAUUAGAUACCCUGGUAGUCCACGCCCUAAACGAUGCGAACU